Macaca mulatta (Rhesus monkey) is the source of this 3587-nucleotide long non-coding RNA. NCBI's taxonomy places the organism in Eukaryota, Metazoa, Chordata, Mammalia, Primates, Cercopithecidae. The record is from Ensembl.
ACAUGAGAAUGUUCUGGAACCCUGUUCCCCUGCGGGUAGCUGGGAGGUUUUCCAGCCUUCCAGAGAAGUAUGGGGUUGAGCCUGUGUUCCACUUGCGUGACCUUUGUGUCUGGGGGAAGGGCUGAGGAAGGUGGCCCCCACAUAGCCUCACCAAGGCCUGUAUUCUGAGGUCAUAACUUAGUACUCAGGUCCCAAGGUAGGAGAGUGAAGGCCAAUGGCAGUGUCAGCAGCAGGAGUGUGAUGUUAUUGUGGAGAUGAGGCUGCACUAUCUUCAGAGCUCCUGGCCCUGGACGUCCUGUAACAGGCAGGUCCACCACAGCAGAGGCCACCCGGAGGGAGGUCCAUGUCUAAAAAGGACACGGGCUGAUCUGCCCUACCCUAAAAGAAGUACAUGUAGAAAGUACUACUGAUGCCUGAAAAACCUGGAAAAAGAAAAGUCCAUCCUUCCUUGGAGUGGCUAAUUGACACAGCUCUAACCAAUGAGAUGGAAGUGAAAAUCUGUUGGAGAGUUUUUGAAAACUUUGCUUUCAUCAUUAAAGAAGACGCACAUCUUUCCUUUUGUGGACACAGGCCUGAUUGUUGGAGCUUCAGCAACUAUCUGAUAAUAAUGAGAGAAAGGCCAAGCCCAGGGAAUUACAGGGACAUUGGCCCUGCCAUUAUUGAGUAACUAAACCAACUCCAGCAACUACCCAAGAAACUUCCUGUUGUGAGAGAAUAAGCAAACUCAUAUCUAUUCUAACCCUGUACUUAGCUUCUCUGUUACUUGCAGCUGAAUAAAUAUAGCAUUUUUAAAAGUUACCUAACAUAAUCAUAAAUGCUUCAUCCCACAGAGAUGACAUGUAGGUCUGACAAUAGCGGGAAUAAAUACUGAUAAUAUUUUAAUGGAUAAUGACUUGAUUCUAUUAUUUAGUACUUUUUAGACUUACUAAUAGAUAAUUUUUAGAUAUUAAUGGAAAAACCUCUACUUGAGUCAAAUCAGUAACUUCAAAGAACCAGAAAUAAAUUGUUGGCCAAUGCAGGCUGGUCUAGGAAACACUGCCAAGUAUUUAAAAAAGAAAAAAUUUCCCACUUUUAUGUUUAACCCAACCCCUACUCGUCUUAAAAACUUUAUUUUUGUAAUAAAAUAUAUUUUUCUGCCUUUGUUUACACUAGACUUGGUUUACUUAUUCUCUCAUCAUUGUUUUUCCUUGGGUCGUUGACUUUUGUUCCUUUCAGUUUUGAAAUGUCAAGGUUCUGUAUCACUGCAGAAACAAAAACCUUUGUUUUUAAAGUAUAAAAUGCUUCCCUGAGAGGGGCUUUCCAAAAGAAUUGAAUGGUGCAGUCAGGGGUGCAAAUUAUAGGGAAACUCCUUAACUUCUACUGUUCCCCCAAACAGCAGCCAGCUUCCAGAAAGCAUUGACUGCAGACUCAGUAGAGGACUAUGCACAUAUUCUGACUUCUGGAGACAUUUACAGUAGGUCAGAAGGCUGAGUAGUUAACAGCAUUCAUGUAUAAUUAUGAAGAAUUUGAGAUGCUUAAGUGAGAGCCAGGAAAAUAAAAGAGAACAUAAGAGAGAGUGAGGUCCAGUUGUCAGCCAGUCUUGACAAAAGCUUCGAUCAUCAGAGAAAGUCUACAAUUCUGUCUAAAACAUGUUAAUUAAAUUACAAAAACUGUUCCCAAUGUAAUUCCUGUAAUACUAGGAAACACAUGAAAAAUUUUGUAAUUUCAAGUAUUUUAGCCCCAUUUAUAGUAUGAACACACGAGAGAUAUUCAUAUAUAUUUAAUAUUUUAAAGAUAUAUAUGAAUUCUGCAAAGUACUAUCCAGAUUUACAAAGAUUUUGCAAAGCACCAUCAAUGUAAACAUUGUCUUUAGGAUGAAAAAGCAAACCACAUUAAAUGGAUACAUCAAUUCUCACAGAGCUGAAUUUCAGAAAGAGUAAAACUAUGAGAGGUGAGAAUUUUAGUCUAGAGGGAAAAUGUUAGUUCUUAUUGUUCUACCAGAGAGAUCUAAGCUCAGAUUUCUCAUUUCAAAUGUGAGAAAUGUGAGCUCUAGUGGAGGCGGGGGGCUGUGGUAGGGGAGAAGAUGCUAGGAAAAAAAUGCCAAGAGAAUUGUGAGAAAAGAAAGAUCACAACUUGGCUAAGAUUUGUAACAAAUUGAGGACUUGAGUAUCUUCAGCAAAUUGUAAGUAUUUCGUGAAUAGUUUUACUCAUCCCAGUUUAUUUGAAGAUGAAUGGGACCUGCCUUUAGCAAUAUUGUGAAAUAGGUGAAGAGUCAUUAUAGCUUAUGGAAAAGCUCCCAGGAACAUUAGGAACAUGAGUUUAGGUUCUAACUUUGCAAUGAAUAUGUGAUGUGACAGGGGCACAUUCUCUAAACUUGCAAUAUGCUCUUUUCCAAAAUUAGCAUUGAAGGAGGAUUGAUCUCCCAUGAAAUAUCUGAGCAGCGUGAAAUAUCACAGAGUUGUAUUUCUUUGGAAUUAUCCAGUUGAGUUGGGAGCAGGGCUAGGAUGGGGAGAACUUUUCCCAUUUUAGCAGAGUGGCCUCAGGGCCUUGGCUGGCACAACGCAACCUCGGGGGCAGAGUGAGAAGCAACACUAGAGGCAGGAGCUGGCACCUGCUACCCACUGACAAGGUUUAUACUCCUUAAUAACAGCCCUCUAGGCAAAGGGGCUGCAAGAGGAGUGAGGGUAAAAACCACCAAGGCCACAAAGACCACGCAGCGGCUGAAAGUACAGAAGCACCUCCACUUUCAAAUCUGCAGGAUGACAGAUGGUGAAAGUCAAGUGUUCAUUUAGCCAUUGACCCUUAGCUUCCUGCCCAUUCCUACAUUCAUGAUGACAUGGACACACUAAUAAGCACUAUUAACCCAGUCAAGUCUGGUAAGUGAUGGAGCAGUGGGUAAGAAGAGGUUAAUGAUUAUGAAGUGACCAAAAUGUGAGAUAAUAUAAUAAAGUGGGAGAGACAGAGAGAGAGAGAAAACCUGCUGGAAAUGCAAAUGGAAUGAACCUUAAAACAGCGAAAAGAAUUUUGAAGACUGAAAAUCUAUCACACAGCAAAUCAAAUUGUAUCUUGUGCAAUGUAAUCAACAAUAAUCACACGCUUUUUACUUACAAAUAAAUACAGUCAGGAACAAUCUUUUAAAACCUAACCUAAUCUUAAAGAUAGGAGCUUUUUUCCUUAUUCUAGAGUGCUGUUUUUCAAAACAUAGGUCAUAAAUCAUCAGUGGGUCAUAAAAUCAAUGAGCAGGCACUUUUUCUUUUUAAUGGUAGAUCAAGUAGAAUAAAAAAUAUCUGAUUGCAACACACAAAGUAAGUUUUGUGAAACAUUUCGGUUGUCUGUGUGCGUGUGUGUGUGUGCUCGUGUGUGUGUGCGUGUGUGUGUGUGCGUGUGUGUGUGCGUGUGUGUGUGCGUGUGUGUGUGCAUGUGUGUGUGCUUGUGCUGGGAGAUGAGGCAGAGAGUCUUUUUUACUGUGGAUAGUUGUCAAUAAAAGGGUAAAAAAUGAUCCUUGUGAGACAUUAGGUGGGACUUCUAGAAAUGUGGGGACACAUUUUAUGUUAUGGAUUGAAAUGUCCCCCAAAAACAUAUAUUAAAAUCUUAAGCCCAGGUACCUG